RNAcentral lists this ribosomal RNA (425 nucleotides) under uncultured bacterium. Its description in RNAcentral is "bacterial SSU rRNA". It matches the Rfam family "Bacterial small subunit ribosomal RNA", at positions 359 to 776 of the family's 1533-position model. The record is from RNAcentral.
GAAUAUUGGACAAUGGGCGCAAGCCUGAUCCAGCCAUGCCGCGUGAGUGAAGAAGGCCUUCGGGUUGUAAAGCUCUUUUGUACGGGAAGAAACACGGCCGGUUCAUACCCGGCUGGACUGACGGUACCGGAAGAAUAAGCACCGGCUAACUUCGUGCCAGCAGCCGCGGUAAUACGAAGGGUGCAAGCGUUACUCGGAAUUACUGGGCGUAAAGCGUGCGUAGGUGGUGCGUUAAGUCCGAUGUGAAAGCCCUGGGCUCAACCUGGGAAUGGCAUUGGAUACUGGCGUGCUCGAGUACGGUAGAGGGUGGCGGAAUUCCCGGUGUAGCAGUGAAAUGCGUAGAGAUCGGGAGGAACAUCCGUGGCGAAGGCGGCCACCUGGACCAGUACUGACACUGAGGCACGAAAGCGUGGGGAGCAAACAGG